Molecule: transfer RNA, 69 nt
Filed under: Acanthemblemaria spinosa (spinyhead blenny)
Lineage: Eukaryota; Metazoa; Chordata; Actinopteri; Blenniiformes; Chaenopsidae
Description: tRNA-Ala
Rfam family: tRNA
About the family: Transfer RNA (tRNA) molecules are approximately 80 nucleotides in length. Their secondary structure includes four short double-helical elements and three loops (D, anti-codon, and T loops).
Source: RNAcentral
AAGGCUUUAGCUUAAUUAAAGUGUUUGAUUUGCAUUCAUAAGAUGUGGGUUAAUGUCCCGCAAGUCUUA